GGUCCCCUGCAGUGUUCGUGAUGGACUAGUAACCCCUGAACCAACGUCGUCAAUCAGGGGGUCCGGAUGUCGCUCCGCGCGCAGGACUCCCACCUUGUGACCAGGUUCAGGUCACUCAUCCACACGGCACCGGCGGGGGGCCU
RNAcentral lists this non-coding RNA (143 nucleotides) under Acidobacteriota bacterium. RNAcentral's name for it is "Acidobacteria bacterium 6S RNA". It matches the Rfam family "6S / SsrS RNA". From Rfam's summary of the family: E. coli 6S RNA was the first non coding RNA to be sequenced, but its function was unknown until recently. It consists of 184 nucleotides that fold into an extended hairpin structure with a large single-stranded internal bulge. The 6S RNA specifically associates with RNA polymerase holoenzyme containing the sigma70 specificity factor. Lineage: Bacteria; Pseudomonadati; Acidobacteriota. The record is from RNAcentral.